RNAcentral lists this ribosomal RNA (274 nucleotides) under uncultured bacterium. RNAcentral's name for it is "partial 16S ribosomal RNA". It matches the Rfam family "Bacterial small subunit ribosomal RNA", at positions 523 to 796 of the family's 1533-position model. The record is from RNAcentral.
AUACAGAGGGUGCGAGCGUUAAUCGGAAUUACUGGGCGUAAAGCGCGCGUAGGCGGCUUAUUAAGUCAGAUGUGAAAUCCCCGGGCUCAACCUGGGAACUGCAUCUGAUACUGGUAAGCUAGAGUUUUAGAGAGGGAAGUAGAAUUUCAGGUGUAGCGGUGAAAUGCAUAGAGAUCUGAAGGAAUACCAGUGGCGAAGGCGACUUCCUGGCCAAAAACUGACGCUGAGGUGCGAAAGCGUGGGUAGCAAACGGAAUUAGAAACCCCUGUAGUCC